CAAUAGCGUAUAUUUAAGUUGCUGCAGUUAAAAAGCUCGUAGUUGGAUUUCGGGUGGGAAUGGCCGGUCCGCCGUUUCGGUGUGCACUUGCUACGCCCACCUUGCUGCCGGGGACGUGCUCUUGAGUUCACGCUCGGGACACGGAGUCGGCGAGGUUACUUUGAGUAAAUUAGAGUGUUCAAAGCAAGCCUACGCUCUGAAUACAUUAGCAUGGAAUAACACGAUAGGACUCUGGCUUAUCUUGUUGGUCUGUGAGACCAGAGUAAUGAUUAAGAGGGACAGUCGGGGACAUUCGUAUUUCAUUGUCAGAGGUGAAAUUCUUGGAUUUAUGAAAGACGAACUACUGCGAAAGCAUUUGCCAAGGAUGUUUUCAUUAA
Molecule: ribosomal RNA, 377 nt
Filed under: uncultured eukaryote
Lineage: Eukaryota
Description: partial 18S ribosomal RNA
Rfam family: Eukaryotic small subunit ribosomal RNA
Source: RNAcentral